AAGCUAUUAAUUUCAAUUGGA
RNAcentral lists this transfer RNA (21 nucleotides) under Meloidogyne incognita (southern root-knot nematode). Its description in RNAcentral is "partial tRNA-His". Lineage: Eukaryota; Metazoa; Nematoda; Chromadorea; Rhabditida; Meloidogynidae. The record is from RNAcentral.